CUUGACCUGCUACACACUUGACUAUAUUCUGCUGUGUAGAAGUGGCCUGAGGUUCUUGAUUAUAGUUGGUUUGAGUUUAAGAACAGAUACAGAUUCAGCAAUGGAGUUACACAAAGUGUUAAAGUAAUCCAGAUACUUUCCUUCAUUCUUGGAUCCCAUCAUAUCCUCUGCUGCUGUGAAGCCCCAGGAAAGAAGUGCAAGGAGCAGGACUGUCGGAACCUUGGCUGCUCUGAUAGCUGCAAACAGCAGGAGGGAGGCAUAUGUCAGUCUGAAGGAACUGUACUCCAGUCAGAUUUCCCGUUCUAUUCCCAACCACCUCUGCUAAUACCUGGUGCGGAAAUGCAUUUCAAAUAUAGUCGGCACUUGACAGACAGAAAUGAUAAUCUCUGAUGGGAACUCUAACCGACCAUAAUAGAGCUUAUGUAAGUAAUGUUCUGGGAGUAGGAGAAAUAAACACAGCAGGAGGGAAAAAAAGAGAAGAAAACAGAUGGCAAUAUUACAGGGAUUCUCACUUAAAGCAUGCUUUUGUAAGGUGAGACACACGGCUGAAAGAACAGAAUUUUUUAUCUCAUUGUGGAAAUCAGUUAUUCAAAUAAAUGUGUGCAUUGGGAGAUUUGUUGGUAACUGUGCCAUUAUAUUCAGGCAGGCUCUCCUGUUUGAACACAAUGCUAUUUAAACAGAUUUUGUGAACCUGACUUCACACCAUCUCUCAUUCAUGUAUCACCACUGUACUCACUGACCUACAAUUGGCUGCUAGUUCAGAAAAGCCUUGAUUUUUAACAUUUUUGAUCUUAUUUUAAAUGGCCUUAACCCUCCCUAGCUUUAUAACCUCCUCCAGUCCUACAACCCUCUCAGAUAUCUGCACGCCUCCAAUUCUGGCCCCUUGGUAUCCUUGAUUUGUAUCAUCUACUUUUGGUCAUCAUACCUUCAACUGCCUUGUUCCUAAAUUCUGGAAUUCUCCCUGAAAAUAUCUCCACCUCUCUCUUCUCUUAAGAUGCUGCCAAAAACUUACCCCUUUA
Chiloscyllium plagiosum (whitespotted bambooshark) is the source of this 1019-nucleotide non-coding RNA. The record is from RefSeq and is a predicted model, not a curated record. Lineage: Eukaryota; Metazoa; Chordata; Chondrichthyes; Orectolobiformes; Hemiscylliidae.